CGUAGGUGGCAAGCGUUGUCCGGAUUUAUUGGGUUUAAAGGGUGCGUAGGCGGCUUUGUAAGUCAGUGGUGAAAUACUCCAGCUCAACUGGAGAGGUGCCAUAGAUACUGCAGAGCUAGAGUACUGAUGAGGUAGGCGGAAUGGACGGUGUAGCGGUGAAAUGCUUAGAUAUCGUCCAGAACACCGAUAGCGAAGGCAGCUUACUAAAGAGUAACUGACGCUGAGGCACGAAAGUGUGGGGAUCAAACAGGAUUAGAUACCCUGGUAGUCCACACUGUAAACGUUGAUCACUAGAUGUUGGCGAUACACUGCCAGCGUUCCAGCAAAAGCGAUAAGUGAUCCACCUGGGGAGUACGCCCGCAAGGGUG
RNAcentral lists this ribosomal RNA (368 nucleotides) under uncultured organism. RNAcentral describes it as "bacterial SSU rRNA". It matches the Rfam family "Bacterial small subunit ribosomal RNA", at positions 526 to 896 of the family's 1533-position model. The record is from RNAcentral.